Molecule: long non-coding RNA, 2645 nt
Filed under: Nicotiana benthamiana
Lineage: Eukaryota; Viridiplantae; Streptophyta; Magnoliopsida; Solanales; Solanaceae
Description: long non-coding RNA (NBEN_LNC024013)
Source: RNAcentral
UCAAAGUCCACUUUGUCAACUACCUCACCAUCAGUUACUCUGCCUCUUGAUGCUACCACAUCUUAUAGUCCUCUUUCAGUUCCUUCUAUUUCUGAUGAACUACCCUUUCCUAAUGCUUCUAACAACACUCCUUCACCUUCACCUUCUGAUCUCUCACCCUCUCCUCUCAUUACUGAUGCUCUACUUGACGUUACUACAUGUACUUCCUCUCCUACUAUAUUUGUUGCACCACUAAGAAAAUCUACCAGAACACAUACUCAUCCCUGUUAUGUAAAGAACACACCUAAGCCAUGUUCAUUAGUGAUGAAUUGUAAAAGCUUCCCCACAAGAUUUCUGUACUUCUCAGGACUAGGCAGAAGAUUCCCAACAUACAAUAAGGCCACAAAUGAUAAGGCCUAGCCGGUAAUUCUUUCAUCAUCUCUCUUAUGUUUCUGUGAUGAAGAACCUACCAGAAAAUCUUCAACUUUCAUUGAUGAGCUUCGAUUUCUACUUGUUUUUACUGGUUUGACAACUCCUGCGUAAUGUAAAUUUAUGCAAUAAGAAAACUCUGGCAAGCAAACGUAAAGAUUCUAGAAGGUCUUUUUCCCCAAACUUCUAUUAGAGGGUCAAAAUUUUAAUAAUGGCACCAAAAUCAUUCUCCCUUCGGUCUCUACCGUCAAAAUAUUUAGAGAAAUAAACAACCCAUGGAAAGAAUAAUUCUUCUAAUUUUUUUUCUCUUUUAGCAUAUUAGCUCACAUUCUUUUAGUUAGUGUUUGCGUGUACAAUUCUGGUAUAUAUCUUGUCCUUAAAUACUUGAGAAAAAAACAACUUGCUAAUUCACGCGACAAAAAUAUCUAGAUCUACAGCCCUAAAUCAAAAAUUGACAGCAAUAGUCUCAGUAUGACCAAAAUUUAGGGUCUUUUCUUUAUUUUGUUAAUCUCCUGAUCAUCCUGUUAGAACACUCAUGAAAUUUUUUGUAUUUAGAACCAUAUACAAAAUGGCUGCCGCCUAAAUUUAUGACACCUUUACCACAAUAAUUUUUGAGAGUUAGCUUAAAUUGUUUUAUUACUCCAAUUAUUUUAAAAUUAAGCAUACACGUCUAGAUAGUAUACAAAUUACUUAACCACCAUUCUUAAUUUCCGCUAGCUUUUCAAAACAGAAUUGUGAUUUGCAUUACGAGUUGUUUAACGAAAAAUUUGUAAAAAUGAUAAGUCACAUGCAAUAUUUUUUUUUCAUAUACUCACAUUUAUUACAUGAAAAAAAAUAUUCUGCAAUGCUACUUUCAAGGAAUCCUCAUUUUAAAAAAGUUAAGGUUAAAAAAGAGAAAAUGAUGUCGGUUCAAGGAUUUUCUUAUUAUCAAUGAUUCCUUAGCCAUGACUUCAAUGAAGGGGCCAUCUAAGUGUCAAUGAAAAGGAUAGAAAAUGUUUCCUCAAUGGCAUUUCUUCUUGAGUAUUUGGAAACCUUAAUGCUGAUAUAUAAAGGAACACUUCAAAAAGAAAAAAAGAAAAUAAAAGAAAAGAAAAGAUGCAAGUCAAUAAUUAUGAUGCUUUUACAUUAGGCAUCUUUAUUUAGGAUCACUCCAGUUUAUUUUCAUAGGAUAAUACCUUUUCACGCAGUUCUCUUACUUUUUCUUAUUUGUUUUAUUUAAAGUGUUGAUAGCCACUUAACCCCACAUAUUUUCUUUUAAAAUAUGAGAUAGUAGUUCUAGCAGCAAACCAUAGUGUUCCUUUCGAUUCGUGCAUACCUCAACUAUUAAAUUAGAGAUAUCCGAUAUCCAAUCAAGAAUGAGACAGCCUUCUAAUAAUUGUAUGGAAUUAAAUUAUUAAUAUUUCAUUGGAUUAACCACCUUCAUAAAAAUGAGAAAUUGGGAAAGCUUCUAAUUCAAUUCUUCAAGUACCUUAUCAAUAGAGCAUGAGAAAAAAACUAAGAAUUACCCAGAAAAGGUCCAACUUAUUUUAGUAGCCCAUGUAUAGGUUGUUGUUUUAUUUGGGCUUGUAUUCCACAAAGUUUUGUACAGUUAAAACAGUACGGGAUAACCUUUUUUUGGACCGGUAAUUAAAAAAUAACCAACGCUUGCGAAGUUAUUGAAAAUACCACUAUUUUGCUGCAACAAGGAAAGUUCUAGCAUAAUAUACUGGAGAUUGGUGAACCUUUGUAUGAACUUCAAGCAUAUUAUGCUGGACCAAUACACAGAAAGUUUCAGCAUAAUAUACUGGAGAUAGAAGCACCUGUGUAUGAACUUCCAGCAUAUUAUGCUGGAUCGGUAUAUUAUGUUGGAAGUUUAGCAUAUUAUACUGGAAAUCCAGUAUAUUAUGCUGGUAUAUUUUUCGGAUUUUGAACAGUGCUUUCGUUCAGAUUUAUCUUUACAAGAAAAGUGAUUAAAUUUCGAUUGCUUUUAAAAUUGUGGCUAUUUUUCAGUUACGACUUGUAAAUUUGGCUAUUUUUGAAUUUCACCGCAUCAUAUUCAAAACUCAAGUCCAUUGGGCACUUAAAAAAGUCUGAACCCAUAUUCAAGGUUAUAACUGCAAUACUUCAAGGAGAAUAACAUUACUACAUGUUUGUAUUUCAGAAUAUUUAAGGCUGCAACAAAAGCUUAAACCAUGUAUGUCAUUCCAACUUGGAUGAUGUUCAUGUGAGGUACCCUCACUGUUGCAACCCCUCCUCUA